GCGGUCGUAGCUCAGCUGGUAGAGCAUCAGAUUGUGGAUCUGAAUGUCGCGGGUUCGAGCCCCGUCGAUCGCCCCA
RNAcentral lists this transfer RNA (76 nucleotides) under Candidatus Woesebacteria bacterium. RNAcentral's name for it is "tRNA-His". It matches the Rfam family "tRNA". From Rfam's summary of the family: Transfer RNA (tRNA) molecules are approximately 80 nucleotides in length. The record is from RNAcentral. RNAcentral also lists the same sequence under 2 other names. Lineage: Bacteria; Candidatus Woeseibacteriota.